UAGCUCUAAGGAGUUCCCUAAUCAUC
This 26-nucleotide small RNA is filed under the name Bombyx mori (domestic silkworm). Its description in RNAcentral is "ovarian small RNA-22500". The record is from RNAcentral. Lineage: Eukaryota; Metazoa; Arthropoda; Insecta; Lepidoptera; Bombycidae.